CAUACUUUAGGAAGCGUUUUGAACUGCAUUUAUGAAAGAUGCUAUACAUAAAUUUACUUGUGUCCCAAUGCCAUUCAUACAUCAACCCCUAAUUAUAUUCAUGUUUUUAUCAAAUUCUCUUUAAUUAAAAUACCCAUCUAUGAGCUAAAUACUAAUAAAUACACGUUACCCAUGACCCGUUGUCAGGAUAUAGCAGCGUCAUUGUCAGUAAAGCAUGAGCUGUUUAAUUUAUGUUUGUAGGCGACACAAAGCUUUUCUCGCAGGAGCACGUCAACCAACUCAUAGCAUGCGUUGUUCUUAGAAUGCUCCUUUGUUCUCUCCUACGAGAUUCUAAAUUUACCCACCAGAGACAAAAGGUAGCGUGCUAAUUAACUGCAUGUCACUCCUGCCGAGGCCCUGAAAUGCGAGACAGCCUUCUGCCCAUUGUUGUGUCCAGUUUAAAGCAGUGGCGGGGUGACAUCACUUGGUGAUGUCAGGUUCAGAGGGAGGAACUGGACCGAAGGGACCCUGUGAUUGGUCACAUCAUGUGGCACCUGGGAAGACAAAAGGUAUAAGGGAUGAAUGCUCGGUCAAGCCAGGCAAAAUUUUGCACAUAAUUCAGCAGCAUCCCUUGAACGCCCUGAACUGAGUUGGUUACCAUGGCAACUGUUGUACCGUGUGCGUCCUGCUAUGGCAGCAGCGUUCAGCUCUUUGGGAAGGGGCCUGAUGGUGUUUACAUGUCCCUUUUCAGUUACAGAAGGCCCAGAGGGGCCCCUCGCCCACGUCUGGCCUGCCAUGCUCCGACGAUGACACUGCGUCAGAUUUGUCGCAUGUUGCGUAUAAUGCGCCAGCUGCGUAAUAAAGAGGCAGCAGCUGCAGCUGCAGCAGCCAGAAAACAGGCUUCUCCUCCCAGCUCACCAAUGAUCAAAUCAGAAAAGCGUUGCUUACCUGCCUGCUUUCGGCGCAGACGAAGUAACAAUAUCAAAAAAGUGAGUUAAGCAUCCAGCAUCCCCAAAACCUCCCAACAACUUCAGCCCUGUGGGAGUUUACAAACUAAUGGAGCCAGUCCUUACUCUACACAGAAGAGUUAAAGUGAGGGACCAAGACAUCGCUCUACAAUCUUGUUGAAUUCUUUUGUUGGGAGGAUUUAACAUGCAACAAAUUUGGUUUGAAUAGGAAAGAAGCAGAUCUUUAGAUGCCCUGAGUGCUGGAACUCUGUCUUACUGCUCAAAAUGAGGCAGAGGAGGUUUUUUUUUUUUUUUUUUUUUACAUGAUUAUUUUUUUCUUUGACUAGUUUGGACUCAGUGAACUCAAAUUGUGAAAUUCCAGUAGGGUCAAACAGUUUCGUGUGCUUCUAUCUGUAAUUAAACCAGUGGAAAGUCCUCAUCAGGUUGGAAAUACGACACAGCUAUUUGUUUGUUUAUUUAUUCAUCUGUUUGUUUGUUUCUGUGUGGGACGGGGGGCCCAAGGUUCUCUAUCUCUCAAAUAGGUGUGAUGGAAACUUAGCUACCGGUGUGCGUUACCGUGUUGAAACUAAAACGUCUACACUGUGUGUGACAACAUUGUGAAUUUACUGAUUUCCUAUUUAUCUGCAUUUGAAUAACCUUUCAAUAAAAACACCUAUGACUUCA
Molecule: long non-coding RNA, 1610 nt
Organism: Cyprinus carpio (common carp)
Lineage: Eukaryota; Metazoa; Chordata; Actinopteri; Cypriniformes; Cyprinidae
Source: Ensembl